UACGUAGGGUGCGAGCGUUGUCCGGAAUUAUUGGGCGUAAAGAGCUCGUAGGCGGCUUGUCACGUCGGAUGUGAAAGCCCGAGGCUUAACCUCGGGUCUGCAUUCGAUACGGGCAGGCUAGAGUGUGGUAGGGGAGAUCGGAAUUCCUGAUGUAGCGGUGAAAUGCGCAGAUAUCAGGAGGAACACCGGUGGCGAAGGCGGAUCUCUGGGCCAUUACUGACGCUGAGGAGCGAAAGCGUGGGGAGCGAACAGG
Molecule: ribosomal RNA, 253 nt
Filed under: uncultured bacterium
Lineage: Bacteria
Description: partial 16S ribosomal RNA
Rfam family: Bacterial small subunit ribosomal RNA
Source: RNAcentral